UCCUAGUUUAGCUUUGAGUUUUUGUUGUAAUGUUUGAUCAUUCGUCUUAUUCAAAAAAAUUAUGGAAUUAUUAUUUAUUUUGUUUGUGACUUGCUUUAUUAUCAAAAGUACUUUAAUGACUUAUCAUGUUUUACAUUUGCACUAAUUUUUCAAAUAAGACGAAUAGUCAAACGUUGCAAAAAAAAAGUUAAAGCGACUACUAAU
This 204-nucleotide microRNA precursor is filed under the name Oryza rufipogon (brownbeard rice). Its description in RNAcentral is "MIR812 microRNA precursor family". It matches the Rfam family "MIR812 microRNA precursor family". Lineage: Eukaryota; Viridiplantae; Streptophyta; Magnoliopsida; Poales; Poaceae. The record is from Rfam by way of RNAcentral.